Molecule: long non-coding RNA, 379 nt
Filed under: Rattus norvegicus (Norway rat)
Lineage: Eukaryota; Metazoa; Chordata; Mammalia; Rodentia; Muridae
Description: long non-coding RNA NONRATT032210
Source: RNAcentral
GUGUGUGUGUGUGUGUGUGUGUGUGUGUGUGUGUGUGUGUGUGUGCUCACUGGUCCACACUGCCCUUGUUAAACCUGGCUUCUUUGCAUCUUUCACAGAAUGGACCAAGAAACACAGCCUCCCUUUUUGUGUCUCCCUCUUUCCAGCAGCACGAGGUCCCACCUCUUCCAGGAAGUCUGUUCUUUACACUCCGCUCUCCAGCUCCCUGCAGACCCCGUGCUCCCCCACACCUCCGACGACACCUCCAUGCCUCUGCUAAUGCUGUUCUCCCACCAGGAAUGCUUUUGUCUGUCCUUCUUGGCUGAGACCCCUGGAGUUGCUGUACUCCCAGGACAAGGUGACGGUGCUCCUCCUUGCCUCUCAAAGAAACGUUCACGAU